CGGGGCAUAGCUCAGCCUGGUUAGAGCGCACGGUUCGGGACCGUGAGGUCGGAGGUUCAAAUCCUCUUGCCCCGACCA
RNAcentral lists this transfer RNA (78 nucleotides) under Acidobacteriota bacterium. Its description in RNAcentral is "Acidobacteria bacterium (rhizosphere metagenome) tRNA-Pro". It matches the Rfam family "tRNA". From Rfam's summary of the family: Transfer RNA (tRNA) molecules are approximately 80 nucleotides in length. RNAcentral also lists the same sequence under 2 other names. Lineage: Bacteria; Pseudomonadati; Acidobacteriota. The record is from RNAcentral.